GACGAACGCUGGCGGCGUGCUUAACACAUGCAAGUCGAACGCUGAAGCUCAGCUUUUGUUGGGUGGAUGAGUGGCGAACGGGUGAGUAACACGUGAGUAACCUGCCCCCUUCUUUGGGAUAACGCCCGGAAACGGGUGCUAAUACUGGAUAUUCACUGGUCUUCGCAUGGGGGUUGGUGGAAAGGGUUUUUCUGGUGGGGGAUGGGCUCGCGGCCUAUCAGCUUGUUGGUGGGGUGAUGGCCUACCAAGGCUUUGACGGGUAGCCGGCCUGAGAGGGUGACCGGUCACAUUGGGACUGAGAUACGGCCCAGACUCCUACGGGGGGCAGAAGUGGGGAAUAUUGCACAAUGGGCGCAAGCCUGAUGCAGCGACGCCGCGUGAGGGAUGGAGGCCUUCGGGUUGUGAACCUCUUUCGCUCAUGGUCAAGCCGCAACAAUGGUUGUGGUGAGGGUAGUGGGUAAAGAAGCGCCGGCUAACUACGUG
RNAcentral lists this ribosomal RNA (483 nucleotides) under uncultured bacterium. RNAcentral's name for it is "partial 16S ribosomal RNA". It matches the Rfam family "Bacterial small subunit ribosomal RNA", at positions 28 to 507 of the family's 1533-position model. The record is from RNAcentral.